CCAACCGUUGGUGGGAGUUUAGAUGAAGAUGUGGGGAUUAAGCGGUACGAAGUCUCUGACCCACUGACAUUCUCUUUAGUUACUUGGUAGGCACAAACGUCGAUAAUUUGCGACUUUCGAUACUUUCAAUGUCCGUAAUCAGGAUUAUUGGUGGGACGAUAUUUAAGAAAAGAAGGUAACCAUCGUUCGGAAGGGUUACGAACGAUCGAUCGAAUCUCGUCCUGAGAUGCGGUUUAAUCGCGGCUUGGUAACCAGUGUCGCUGCUUGCUUGACAGUUUUCUUCGUCAUUUUAAAUUUAAAGUCGACCAUAGAGACCGUAAACAAUCCGGGGAUAAAUAUAAAAGAGCCUUACGUUGGGGAACAAAAUAUCCACAAGGAUCAGACGUAUCGAUAUGUUACCCCCUCUCUCGCGGAAUUAGCUGCCCGUGGAGCUUUGCCGAAGAUGAACAAACAUAUUUUAAUGUUGACCCGCGUACCCGACGCAGGGGCCGAACUGUUCGUCCUGUUGCUGCAACGUUUGCAGGGCUACAAUGCAUUUAAGCACAUACGAUUGCCGCCUGGCGAUCACGGCCUUCUGUCAACUCUGCAAGAGGAACUUUUGGUAGAAGAAAUUACCAACAUCAUAAGGCAGGAAGCGAUUCCUUUAAGUUUCGACGGAGAUGUCAGAUUCUUGAAUUUUUCCAAGUUCGGCCGAGAGUCUCCAUCGUUUAUUUCUUUAGUAAGGAAUCCUAUAGGAGUGCAAAAUUUUCUGAGAUAUCACGAGAGACGAAGAAAUAUGGUGGAAAAUAGAGCCAUACCCAUAUUUUGCGGCCAAGAUCCUCGAUGCUCAGAAAUAAAUAACAAGUGGGCGUUGCAACGGGCCAAAGCGAAUGUCGUUGAAUGGUAUCCCGUUGUCGGGAUAUUGGAGUACAUGGAACAAUCGAUAGACAUACUGGAAUACAAAUUUCCAUAUUUCUUUCGAGGUGCUAAGCAUAGUUACAAAAAAAUUCAAUCAAAAAAUAGACACUUUCCCGAUCCCACAUUUAUGUUAAAUUCGCAAGAAGGGUAUAACAUUUUGUCGAAACUCUUCGAGGAUGAAAUAGAGUUUUAUCAAUGGUUGAAACUUCGACUUUUGAACGAAACGUCGAGGAGGAAACGGUGAUGGGGGCCAAUAUUUGUCAUCGAAGAAAUUUCGUCACGAGGAUACCAAAGAUAAUUAAUAUUAAAAAAGACACAAAGUAGAAAACGCGAGAGAAGAAAUUAAUUAAUUUUCUUUCGAGUAUCGAUGUUCAAUUUAUUAUACUUUGAUACUUAACAUAAAACAUCUUAUAAUAUCUAAUCCAGGUUAUCUUUAAUAUUGUAUUUAAAUGUAUAUAGCAAUCUUUUUUAAACUCGGCCUCAUUAUAUCACCGAGGAUGAAUUUUUUUUUUUUUACUAAAUAUUUCAACGAAAUGUAUUUAGAAUAAAUACGAAAAUGUACAAGGAAACAUUAGAAAACGCACAAUGAUUAUUUCCUGUUUACCGGUUGUUUAUAUAAUAUUAGCGGGAUAUCAUGUAACGAAGCUCUUAUUAUUUAUUUACACUUUCUUCAAAAAAUGCAAGAUUUUUCAAUAUCACAACUAUCGUAUGAAAUAAAAGAAAAAAAAAAAA
Molecule: RNA transcript, 1629 nt
Organism: Apis mellifera (honey bee)
Lineage: Eukaryota; Metazoa; Arthropoda; Insecta; Hymenoptera; Apidae
Gene name: uronyl 2-sulfotransferase
Exons: 7
Source: RefSeq, a predicted model, not a curated record